GACUGGGCCUUUCUCAUCAUGUCCCAUGCCAGAGCAAACCAUAGGCCCAAACCAUUGCCUGGCCUCCUAGCCCAUAGGCUUCUGGCACUGAAGCGGGUUGCACAGGG
RNAcentral lists this small nucleolar RNA (107 nucleotides) under Echinops telfairi (small Madagascar hedgehog). RNAcentral describes it as "Small nucleolar RNA SNORA42/SNORA80 family (ENSETEG00000023297.1)". It matches the Rfam family "Small nucleolar RNA SNORA42/SNORA80 family", at positions 32 to 136 of the family's 136-position model. From Rfam's summary of the family: The members of this family belong to the H/ACA class of snoRNAs that guide the sites of modification of uridines to pseudouridines. Human ACA42 (SNORA42) was cloned from HeLa cells by immunoprecipitation with anti-GAR1 antibody. The record is from RNAcentral. Lineage: Eukaryota; Metazoa; Chordata; Mammalia; Afrosoricida; Tenrecidae.